Molecule: long non-coding RNA, 2402 nt
Filed under: Fragaria vesca (wild strawberry)
Lineage: Eukaryota; Viridiplantae; Streptophyta; Magnoliopsida; Rosales; Rosaceae
Description: long non-coding RNA (FVES_LNC002777)
Source: RNAcentral
UUUUACCACUUUAUAACUCUCCAACAUCAGAUUGUUUCUUAUAGCAAGUUAGCGACCCUAGCUUCUAACCUCUGAUUCUGUUUUCUUUCUCCUUCAUUUUCUCUCUCAGUUACACCAUCUAUUAUCUAUUCUCUUUCUUAUUGUCUUAGGGUCUUCCAUUGUAAUCUAUAACCAACCAGCUCCACUCUACAUCCUCAUCAUGCCAACAUAUAUCACAAUUGAUCCAGAUUUGUCUAGAAGCUUUAGCCAUCUUCAGCUUGCAGCAAACCCUUGUAUUGAAGAUAAUGAUGAUUUUUGUAAAAGAAAAUCUGAAUUCUUUUUUUACUUAUUAAGCUAGGAUCACAAGUUAAUCAAGUAAUAGUUGUAACAAAAUCACUGGCGCUUGUCCUCAGCCGUAUUGGAGAGUCCUUCUGUUGGAAGAGAUCAAGUAUGUGAUUGGUUGUGCUUCUUAUCUCAUUGGCAACAAGUUGUUGGCAAUGCUUUAAGUUUGGUAUUGGCUUUUUAAUCUUUUACCAAAAUUAUGUCAUGAUGUAUUAGGCUUCUCUGGUAUGAAUUACAUGCUAAGAAAGUUUAUUGUUGUUUCACUAUAUGAGCUUAUGACUUCACUGCAUAUAAUACAGACUUAUAUGUAUUGAUCUUUUCUCAAAAGUUACAUGUUGUGAUUUAGGGGAAAUGAAUGGUGAAACUCAGAGAAGCCACUGGAAAUUAUUAUCCAACAUAAUCAUAUAAAGGGAUGAAAAUAUUGUAUGGGAAAUCAAUGAUCUCACUUGUCACACAACAGGUCAAGAAAGCCAGACUAAAAUUAGGAGGACACCACUGUUAGAUCUUGAACAUCCCCUCCUUUUAUCUUCAUCAAGCUUUGAUAUUUAUCACAGUAUUAUUCUUCGAGGCAGAUAGAUGUCACACUGUGAUUAGUGUGAUGAAUAUCAAAGCUUGAAAGAAGGUUAUGUUAGUAGCUUGUGGCCUAAAAUACAGUAGUACUGUAAUCCAGUGCUCUGUUUUGCAAAAUUCAGAGUCCGCCGAUGAGACUCUUCACGUUACUCUGUAUUUAAGGGAAAUGAAGUCUUAGAAUCACAAAAGCUACUGAAUUUUUUUUAAAAGGCAAUCAAUAUAAACAAGAACAUCAAAUGUAUUCUGAACAAAAAGAACAAGAAUACCAAAAGGACUCCUGGCUUUUCAAUGCCGAAUACCAUGUAAAAUAAUUCUUGAUUAAGUGUAGACUAGAUACCAUGCACUUAAAUCCCAGUACAUUCACCGAAUUAACUAGCAGAUGCUCUAUAUAUAUGAACAACAUGCUCUCUUUGUGCCAAACCCAAGUAAAUUAUCACAAGAGAAUGAUACCUCACCACAUCCUUUGGAAAAUGGAUAACUAUGAAGUUGAAAUUCAUGGUCUCAAAAUGAAGGUUACCGUAGCAGAUGAUCCUCAUUUGGUGCAGCAAAUAGUUUCACAGUUGAAUUCAGGUGAUCUCAUCGGGCUUGAUAUCAAGGGAGGCGACGGCUAUAUUCCGCAAAUGUUGGUACUCUGUUCUGGAAGUCGUUGCCUGAUCGUCCCAAACUUGAAAAAUAUGUUGUCUAAUACAACAGAGCAAAUAACUAUAUCUUUACUGAAACAGUUUUUUGCUACUCCUCGGAUCUGUUUUGUGGGUUUUAAUCUCCAGUUGAACAGUCGUCUUCGUUCAUAUUCUUUGUUGGAGGCUAUGCUAGCUAAAAAGGGUGUAGAGGUGAGUGAAUUUGCAGCUAGAGUACUGAAGAAACGUGAACUUGAAUGUCGUAGUCUACAUGACAUUGCAGGUGAAGUUGGUGUUGAUAUGAAGCAACUAUCUGGUGCUCGUCCAGGAUCAUUCUGCGUGAGAGUUUUUUCUGUGGAAGAGAUCAAAUAUGUGAUUCACAAUGCUUGUGCUUCUUAUCUAAUUGGAAUGAAGCCAUUGAGGAUGCUCUAAAUUCGGUACUCGCUUUUUAGUCUUAACGCAAUGUUAUGCUGGGUUCUAGACUUCUAGGCUUCUGGUACUACUAGUACUCUGUUUUGCGAUAAAGGGACUCUCCAACAUCGGAAAUAAAUAUGAACCUAUAUGCUAAGACUGUUCAUUGCUAUAUCUCUAUUUGAGCUUAUAAUCUCACUAAAAAUAACACACAAUUACAUAAUGCUUAGUAAUGCUUCAUCUUAUGUUUGCAAUGACUGCUUGUCUUGUAAAGCAUGCUAUGCUUCCAAUCUUGUAACAGCCUCAAGGAUUUUAAGUGCAUGUAUCUUCGUACAAGAGCCACUAAGUUAUAAAUGGAUACUCAAUUCCUUAGACGGAAAUGCACAGAGCGCCACUAUAUGAGCACCCCUUAUUGGCAUUUCUUUUGAUAUGAACAAAAAUAUUGGGGAUAAAAUCGAUAUCCACAUAUAUAUCUCAUAAAUU